GGGCGGUUAGCUCAGCGGUAGAGCGUCUGCCUUACAAGCAGAGGGUCACAGGUUCAAAUCCUGUACCGCCCA
RNAcentral lists this transfer RNA (72 nucleotides) under Heterosigma akashiwo. Its description in RNAcentral is "tRNA-Val". It matches the Rfam family "tRNA". From Rfam's summary of the family: Transfer RNA (tRNA) molecules are approximately 80 nucleotides in length. Their secondary structure includes four short double-helical elements and three loops (D, anti-codon, and T loops). The record is from RNAcentral. Lineage: Eukaryota; Raphidophyceae; Chattonellales; Chattonellaceae.